GUCAGUCAUCAUUUUUAUUAUUCAAACUGUACCUUAAGUUGAGCAUGACAACGCACAGUUUAUUGAAACACUUUGUCAGUCAGUAGGCUGUUUUUAAAUGGGCAUAUCUACUGUAGUCUAUACCUCUCAUCGCUGCCCAGAGAUCUCCUCUUGCAGCCACCUUGGCUCAUGAUAUUAGACCUGAUGCUUGGCUUACUUUAUACAUACUUUAUAUGUACACGGUGGCCACAUACACUGAGUGUACGAAACAUUAGGAACACCUGUUUCAAUUAGUCAAGGGCUUGGUGAUUAGUUGACAAAUUGAAUCAGGUGUGCCAUUUUAGGGCCACAACACGUACACUGAGUGUACAAAACAUUAGGCGCAGCUUCUUAAAAUUGAGUUUCACCCCCUUUUGCCCUCAGGACAGCCUCAAUUUUUCAGGGCAUGGACUCUACAAGGUGUCAAGCUUUCCUCAUGGAUGCUGGCCCCAUGUUGACUCCAAUUCUUCCCACAGUUGUGUCAAGUUGACUAGAUGUCCUUUUGGUGGUGGACCAUUCUUGAUACACAUGGGAAACUGUUGAGCAUGAAAAACCCAGCAGCGUUACAGUUCUUGACACACUCAAACUUGCACCUGGCACCUACUACCAUACCCUGUUCAAAGGAGCCUAGAGACCAUCUUUGAGGAGCCCAAGGAGAAGAACGGUUCGCUGGUCUGCAUCGGCCACCAGAAGAGGAAGCGCGUGCUGGACUUCCAAGACUUCACACUGCCGCGCAAACGAAAAGCCAGAGCCAACCUGCUGCCCCUGCGCGUGAAGGGCCCCAGGGGCCGGGGCCGGAGGGGGAGGCCCGACGAUUCCGACCUGGACAUUAUGCUCAUCGAGAGGCUGAGCGAGCUGGAGGACUUCUUCACCUGCCAAGGCCUGGAGGACUGAGCAGUCCCUCAAUACCCCCUCCUUCACAGCCAAAUGCACAGUCUGUGUCCCAAAUGGCACCCUGUUCAGCAUAUAGUGCUCUACUUUUGACCCAAGCCCACCGGGACAAACAUAGUAUAAUUUGUGACAUGCUACACAUGCAUUGCACACAGUUCCUCAUUCUCAGUUUUUUAAAGUUUUGUUAGGUGUACUUGAAAUACCCAGCCAUUCACAUUAUUGCUUUAUAACUGCUAGCAUUUGAAGAGCUAGAAAAGAGCAAAGGCAAGCCGCGCCACUGGCCAGCCCAGGCGCAUUUGUUAUUGUUUUGAGGAAAUGAGCAUUCGGCAUCAUUUAAAAUUAAAUAUAUUUGAACAUACUGUGCUGUUCUACUGCGCAUACAGUGAUGUCCGGGGGGGGCAGUGUUCGUUGUUUGAAGUAUAGUAUUGUAAUAUCGCAAACGGACAUUGCAGCUUCACCGCUAUGGAUUCCAGCUUUAAUGCAUGCCUUAGUGGAAGUUUAACCUCAAUCCCUCAAUCCAGCAAAGAUAUGAUUUUGUUGAUAGACGAUGAAUAGUGGUUGAACAAUAACUGUCUUCUUAGGAACUAAUAAUUGAAACGGAGAAUGUGGAACACUGAUACCUAAAUGUGUGCGUUCGUUCACACACAUGCACACACAUGAAACUUUUGCAUAUGAACACUGUAGACUACACAAGCACAUGGAUAACAAGUUCACCAACCCAUACCUGAGCACUUUCCUUCUUACCUUAUUCAGACCAUGUGACCUGUACUGGGAAAAACUCUGGGUUAUAGAUAAGACCCAGAAUCUUUGUUGGUUAGGAAAAACUCUUGUCUUUAACCAUUUUCCGUUGGAUGGGGGUGUUUGAGGAGUUCAAGUUAUGUGCACUGAGUGGUCCGUGCUUCGAGUGCAGUGAGAGUGUGGGCUGUGUGCCUGUAGUUAUUUCCCUAAUUCCUAUUGCUGCUAUACCCCCUACCUAGUACAUUGCUAAAUUAUAUUAUAGAUGUUAUCUUAAAGUUCAGAACAUACGUUUUAUUUUUUAAACCACGUGAUCCAUAGUCAUAUUCGGUGCAUUGGGAAAGUAUUCAGACCCCUUCCCUUUUUCAAUAUUUUGUUACGUUACAACCUUAUUUUAAAAUGUAUUAAAUGUUUUUCAUCACACAUCUACACACAAUACCCCAUAAUGACACAGAAAAAAACAGGUUUUUAGACAUUUUUGGCAAAGUUAUAAAAUAAACUGCCUUAGAUUGGAAGACUUAACCUGGUUGCCAGAUCUGUUUAUACUUCUAGCGUUGUCAAACCAAACAGUCUGGCCUUAGUGCAAUCUCAUUUUCACAUUGCAUAAUGACUGUCAAGAUACGUUUAUGCUUUAGCAAUAUCCUUAUCUGGGAACCAGGCUGUAACUAUUUUUUUGUAGUGUUUGCGUACCACUUUUUGCAUUUUGUUAUGUCAGCAUUUGUUAUGAAACACUAAUUUCAGGUGAAUCAUUUGAGUUUUUGAACUGUGGUCAGUCAUCAUUACAUAUCAGACAGGUCUUGGUGCGUAUUGAAGUGGAAACGUUCAGCUCCGCAGCCACACACAUUGACAUAAUCCUCUCUUGAAUUGUUCAGCACAAAAUGAAAGUGUCAUUAUCUGACAGUGAUCUAAUGGGGUUUGUAUUUAACGGCCAAAUAAUACUGUUCAUACUUUUCUUAUGUUUUUUUAAUUCAUUUUCUUUUGUAUGGUUACUUUCUAAGAGAGCCCUCAUGUGGAUUGCAAUCAUUGUUUGUAUACUUUUCUGCUUCCCUGGACCUAUUUGCCAGUAGCUUUUCUUGUGUGGCAGAAGUCUUCACUUAUUGACGCCCCCCCCCCCCCCAAAAAGAGCCAGAGGCAGACCAUGUGAAGUGUUCUAUUGCACAUUCUCUCCUGUCCUCUGACCUCUUUAGGCCAGAGACUGAAUUGUAGAAACAAGUUCUUUUAAUUUAGCUGUAGCAGAGGAUUAUUUGUGUUUACACUGGUGUGCAGUGUAAGAAGAGACACACUUUGGGAUCCCAUAUGUCUGUGAAAAUAUGAAUUUUAUAUUGUGUUUUUCAUUAAAUCCCUCGUAUUCCUUAUUUCAUCCUCUGUUAAAAGGGAUGGGUGCUUACUGCGGAAAUGUAUCUCAGACUGAAGGUUAGUAUUGUCAAUUAUUGUAAUAUAUUUUUAUGAAUAAAAUGGUAUUGAAAUGUGUCGUUUCUUAGUUGGUUUAAUGUGCUUAGAACUGAUUUAUUUGUUUGGCUGAAACCAUUGCUCCGUUUGAGAAAUCUAGAAGUGAGACCAUUUCAUCAUGUAUUGUAAGCAGUUUAUGGACAAGGUAUGACAGAAAUCCAUGCUUUACCUUGCUGCUGUUGUGGGACAAAUCCAAUGAAAAUCAGUGGUCAUAUUAAUCAUAUUAGCAUUUUCACAC
RNAcentral lists this long non-coding RNA (3331 nucleotides) under Salmo salar (Atlantic salmon). Its description in RNAcentral is "lncRNA (ENSSSAG00000094711.1)". Lineage: Eukaryota; Metazoa; Chordata; Actinopteri; Salmoniformes; Salmonidae. The record is from RNAcentral.